GCAGUUCUUCUGUCGUGUUCAAGUUAUUAACUUUGCUUUACCUUUGCUUGGGAGGAUUUAUCUGCCCAUUGCUCACAGGCUGCUGGGAGAUGUCCAGCCUCUUCCUUCAUGGCAAGGUUGUGCUGAUUAGAAAACUUGCAACAAAUGGAAAAAUCUUGCACACAGUCUUUAUCUAAUCAACUUCAACAUGGCUCUUCCCUAACUUUGCAAAUUAAAUCUAAAUAUUAGUUCACUCUUUAGGUUUUCAGGUCACACUCAGCACCGUAGCCUGCUUUAUGCUGAACAUGAUUACCCCAAUAUAAUGUGAGAACAGAGGAGGGAAAAACAAGAGCAAGAAAGCAACAUCAGUGUUCAGUGUUGCUGCAGUUUCCCAUCCUCUGGGCAGGGAUGGGCUUAUUAACUGCAAAAUCCAGUCUGGAGCCCACUGGCAUUUCACAUGAGACAGAGCUGGAGAUGGCAGCACAGUGGGACAAUAUAUUUAUAAUUAGCAAAUAUUUUAAUGUGCACUGGCAUGUCCUUUAAUCAGCUGUUCUCCCAGCCUUUUCCCGUUUACUUUUCUGUGGAGAAGGUUUGCUCUUGUGAGAAGGUUUCUCUGAGCAGAUUUCUCUGUUGGCAGGAAGGUGAUGGAACAGCAGCUUCUGCCUGUGUUCAAACCUCAAGGACAUGGGCACUGGCAAACAUUGCACCUCCCAAGCCAGCCCUUACAAAGUGUCCAUACCCAGGCCAGCACGGGGGACAAGAUUCUGUGACUGAGACAACCCCAGCUUUGCAGCAACCAAGGAGCACAGAAUCUCUUGUGAGGAGGAUCAUCUGUGGAAGUUGGGAAGCAAAGUACACAGCCCAGCAAAGGAGCACGGGUGCGAAUUCAAUUAUGUUUCAAGCAAACACUGUAUUUCUAUGGCAGUAAAUCCCCUCAGAGUUAAAGCUGGAGUCACAGAUAGUUCUAUAUAUUUAUUUAUUUUCAGUGGAUAGAUCCCAGACCUUAAGGAAUGUGUUGCAAUGCAGACUCAGAAAUGCUAGCUGCCCAAAUCCCAAUGAAUCCUAGCUGCAGAAACCACUGUUUCUCCAGCAUCAUCUCACUUUUGGCAUCGAGCUCGUGUUUGAGACCUUUCAAAUGCUGCAGAAGAUGCUUCUUGCUCAAGAAAAAAAUAUCUCAUCUCUUGGGAGGGAACAGACUGGAAGUUGCAGCUCACAAACUGUGUUGCAUUUUAAAAACACCCUCCCCCGAGGCCUGGGGCAGACGCGGUGCAGGAGGGAGCUCCCAGUGCUGAGAGGACAAAGGCUGCUGGAGAGGAACGUGGGGUGGCUGGCCCAGCACUCGCCGUGUCCCGAGGAUGGCUUUGCCUUUUGCGAGCAGCCCGAGGAGAUUGGAGCAGCCCGACUGCUGCAAUCAGCCCUCCCGAGACCUCUGCUCCCCGGAGCUGAGCUGCAACCAGCAUCUGGCCCCACCGUGACCUUGGUCUACUGAAAUGACAUUGGACUAAAAGACUUUUUAAUUUUGUCUCUCUUUUUCCCCUCCCCUUUUCUUUAUUCGCUUUCCCUCCCUAUCCCCCUCCUAUUUUUUGUCGUGUAUUUCGGACUGCUGUGGAUUAGAGAGUCUCUCUUGUAAAGGAGAGGGGCUCAGAUGUUAUCAGUGUUAUCAGUUCGUCUGUAAGUGAUGCUUUACAGCCAGGCAGCCUGGAGCUGAGCAACUGUGCCAUCAUCAGGCUCGGAUCAGCAGCACAAAGUCGGGGAGACGUCGCAGGAGCUCUGAGCGGCCCGGAGAGGCACAGCGGCUCCUCGCUGCGGGCACCGUGCCACGGAGAUACUGUAAGAAUUUGUAGCUAUCACAGAAAGUUUCCCUGUGAGAAAUUUCCUACAGAGUCCUGGAAUUUUUUUUUUCUUUAAUCAAAACUGAGGAAAAAAAUAAAUCUGAAGGGAAAGGCUAUUAUUGCAGUUCAUGAGCUGACAUUUUAUCUGAAGGCAAGAGAGAUAAAGAAAAGCAUUAGAGAAAAAUCACCCAGGGAAGUUUGAGCUGGCCUUGGCAAACACUUCUAAAUAUUUACAGGAGACUUCUGCAGAUCAGCUACUGCUUAGAUCUACAGUCCUCCCAGUGCAGGAAUUAAAACACAGGUUGGAUAAUCAAGGUCACUGAACACAUAUCAUUUUAUUUCCUGGGCCAAGCAAGCUACCUAGGGAAAGAGAUAAAGCUGAACCAGAACUGUUCAUAAAGCAUGAACUGAACCUGCAGCAAUCUUUUAGAGCUUGAAAAGUUCUCUCCUCUGAGGAGAGAGGUGCCCUCACUUAAAAGUCCUGUUGUCUGUACUUCCCCUCCACCCCAAAAAUGUGUUGAAGAGGCAAAGCUGUCCUGUCCAGAAGCUCAGUUAAGACAUUGGGCUGACCAAGAAAUGUACCUAUAGCUGCACAGAGACUCAGCCCAGCACAUACAGUCUGAAGGAUUUAUGUAGUUAAAAAACAUGUAUGUAAAGAAACAUAAAAAUCAGCUAAUUGCAGGAAAGGUCAUGUUUUCUACAUAUUUAAUAGAUGGGCUCUUUCCUAGCUCAUGCCUAUGGAGAACCCAGUGUCCUGGGUAUGAUGCAGCUAUAAAACCUCACUGCCAUUCAAUCCCAGUGCCCCUCGUGCAUGCUCUGGUUUGUAGGAGUUAUCUGUGGCAAAGGCUUGGAGCACAGCACUCAGGGGCUGCUGCUGCUUUUAGGCAGUGCAGUGGCAGAGUGUUUUCCUCAUGCUGCUCAUUGAGCACUGCAGUGUUGGCACACAGAUCACAGGGAUGUUUAAAUCCUGCUAUUACAGAGACAGUCCAAGUGCCCAAAUAGCCAAGGGGGGCAAGGGACCCAACAAAAGCAGGCAAAUUACCUGUCCCAUGCACUCCCCACACAGGUGAUGUCUGAUUCCCCUCCCGCACACUGGGAUGGCACGAGAGCAAGAGCAUGGGAGAGCAGAGCAGAGGAGGGUCUCCCACAGCCCCUCCACCUGCUGCCAACUGAAGCAGCUUGAGACAAGCUUUGGGGUGACCUUGUUCUGCUGCUCAGCUCAGACCUCGAGGGCAGCACUGAAGGCCCCUGUCAUCGUGCUGGUCACUUGUCAAGCAGCAGAGUUCACCUUUGCAGGCCAGUUGUAAAUGCUCGGGUUCUGCUGCAGUUCCCUCCCCUGUGCCCCUCCCCUGGACACACAUUGAGGUGUGACUGUUCUACAACACUAAAUAUAAGUAUAGAGACAAGAAUCAAUGUCACCAGGAACGUCCUUGACCACCAUCAGGCUUUCCUUCCAUGGUCAGUACUAGUUGCAGGCAGUUUGGGAUUAGAGAGAAGGAUUUAUGAUUUGGUCUGAUCAUAACAAACUCAAAAUUCAGAAGAUGGGAAAAAAAAUAAUGAUUUCUCUGAAUAGUCACCUUGUACUAGAGACAUAAGAACUGAGUGACUGAGGUAGGUGAGCUGGGUGAUCCCUCUCCCAGAGCAUUCCUGCACUCAAGCAGCUGCAGCUGCUGGAGGUGUUGCUGGUGCUUUGCAUGUAGGGUUUAUGUGUAAAUAGGAUUGCCAGGCCUGUAUGCACAAUUUGGGAUCAGUUUCUUACUCCCAGUUAAGCAGCUGGAUUUUAUUCUGAAGAUGCUUUUUAUUCCUAUACAGAAUAAAUUCCACAGUAUCGUGAUGGUUUUUCACCCAUGUGUUUGGUAGAGAACCAUCACCUUGGCCCACCAUGGAAGAAAUGGACAGUUUUCUUCCCUCUCAUUGACCUGAAAUGACUCCCACACCUACACAUUUCACUGUUGGUCUCAUGGCUAUUGUUAGCCAAGGUUGGUUGCUUGUGUUUGUCCAAAAACUGGAAACCUUCAUCAGUCCAAGCUCUGCUUUUUGCUCUGCCUAUGAGCAUCUGUAAAGGUGCACAGCAGCUAAUGAAGGGAAGAAAGCCUGUUUUCAGAAUAUCAAAACUCUUCAAUAGGGGUUAGCACCUCUGUUUCAAGAUUUUCUAUCAGAGAAAGGCUGAGAUCUGCUGCUUUGGAAAAGUAAUUCCUUACUGACCCAGAGCAAGACAGUAAAUUCAACAAACAAAAUGGAAAGGAUGAAGCCUGCAACCUGACUGGUAUACACAAUUUGUUUUCCUCUACAAGGUUAAAUGCACAAAAUGUACAAAACCUGGAAACUGGUCCCUGUUUUGCUUCUAAACCCCUCCUUCAGGGGUCUUCAGCCCAUUGGAACCCACCUGAGAACCCACGAGCCUAGAGAUGUUUGAUGGCAGACCUUUGCUAGGACUGCCCAAGAACGAGGGGACAGUGGGGAGUUUCUAAACAGACAACUUACAUCAGGUAAACUCAUCAUCACAGAAUAAACUGGAAGGUUUUGAAUGAAACGAGCUUAUUUCCUACUGAUGUUAAUCCUUCAUGAAGUAUGGAUGUUAAUCCACAAAGAAAUUCUUAGAAAAUUAUCUGUUACAUCUCCAGGGCGGAAAGGUCUCGGUUGUGGCACUGAAUACUGAGAGCAUCCUAUUUGAUUUACCAGUGAUCACCAAGGUUUACAUCAAAGGUCAGGAAUAAGUCCGGAAUUUGUAAGCUGUGAAAAAGGUAUAAACACCUUAAUUUAUUGCCCUGUCACUGUUAAUUCAUUCGGUAUUCACUGUGAUAGCAUUGCUGUUAAUGAAUGUAUUUGGUAAUAAUGUGGAUGUCACAGAUAUUUAUGCUCUCAUCUCUCUCAGUGGCUCAGCAGGCAAGGCAAGUUAGGAGCUUUGCCAUUUUACGUUUUAUAAAUUAAAGAGGGAAAAUAAAUCAUGUUUCAUUUCAGAGAAGUACUUAACAAAUAUCUAUUACAUUUAGCCACCCCAAAUGAGGGCCCAUCCUAUUACAGAAGAAUUAGUACUGGACACAAAAUGAUGGGUGUCUGGAAUGGAUGGAAGCCAAAGGGGAAGCUUCCUAUGUAUUUCAGAGGCAACAGGUCAGACUCUGUUCAAAGUAUGUAGAUUAGCUGAUGUUUGUUAAAUAUAGCUAAUAAAUAAAUUUUAGAACCCAUAUCUUUAUGUCUUAUGUGACUCUUUAGAGUCACAAGUGGGAAAAAAAUACUCUUGGAUAUCUGUUUCAAAUCCUGAAUCAACAAAAAAAGGAAUCAACAGAGGAGCUCUAACCUUUGCACAGUGGAGAAAUGUGUGCCUGUAUGGAGCUUGUAAAAAUCUCCUAAUUGUAAGUUAACCUUGAUUUUUGAACAGUCAGGUGGCACACAAACAUUUAGCUGACUCUGCACUAACCUGAUUUUCCACAAAUUUUAAAAUUACACACAAAUACUUUGUAAUCCUUUCAUACAUAUUUUUAUCCUGCACUCUUCAGGAUGGUCCCUCAGGUGCAAUGGUGCCUCAAAACAGGGAGUUUUUCCAGUUAAGGUCAGCAGAAGCCUGGCCAUUGCUUUCAAAGGCUCCAGGAUUCAGAUUAUAACCAAUUCAUUAAUUUUGUAAUCUAGUCAUAAGCAAGUCCAUAAUAUAAAUACGGAUAAGCAGCAAAUACCUUCCUCAUUCUGAAAUACUGACUGGGAGCAGGAGGCUCUGCACUCCUGGGCUCAUGAGAUCAUUAUCAAGCAGCUGCUGACACAUGUGCAUGGAAUCCCAUGCAUGGAAUGCCUGGAAAAUGCUUAUGCACCUGGGCAAUUGCUACUGCUCUAUUAUUAUGCAAUAAUGCAUUAUUACUUGUAUUUGAAGAGCAAAUGCUGGUCAGACAGUUCUAUUGAUAUGAAUUUUCACAUCUUUUGAUGGUGAAAGUCCUGCUUCAUUAAUGCUCCAAGUCCCGCUCAACAGAACUGAGGCAGGAGGAGGAAAAUAAAUGACUACAAAUACAGUUUAGAAACCUCUGCUCUGACCCAAACCACCUUGCCCAUAAAUCACGAUCUUGCAGUUUCAAACCCUGGUUUGGGACUGUACACGUGGGCUAUACAAGCACAAGUCCCUGCCAUUCCCAAGGCUCCCUGUCCCCAGUCUGCAGGGGGAACAGGAGGAUGGACAGUCCUCCUCUCCACAACCCUCCCAGGCCUCUUUUCCACAGCUGCCCAUUAUUGCUGUAAUCGCUUCAUUACAGCCUCUGUGAAUUGAUUAGGUUUGGAAAGUGCUGCAGUGGGAAUAGGGGACUCUGGCAGGACGUGUGCCAGCCCGAGAGCUGGUGCUGCUGGGGAUGUGCUGCCCAUUUGCACAUCCCAUGUGGGACUGGGUUUAAAAAAAACCCAACAUUUUUAAGGGGAGAGGGAGGGACAGAAAACCCAACCUGUGGUUUUUUUCAGAGCCUUUCAGUGUUUUCUUCUGAAAAGAUCACUCCUUCACAGUGCAGUAAUAUGUUCCACAGUUUAAUUUAAUGCCUUGGUUAGGAAAACUUAAAUGUUUCCUUGAAGCCUUUUACAAUUUGUUGCCUUUUAAUUAAGAUGGAAAAGUACCUAAACGUCUGAGUGGUGUCUAUAUUAUGAAAUAAUUUGUAUUUUAUAUUUUCCCCAUAGAAGUUUGCAACUUGGUGUCAUACAGGAUCUAAUACCUUCCUUUUGUGAUGCUCUGAAUGCCUCUGGAGCCGUCAGCAAGUGUUGGAUAUACAAAUGGAAAUGGCAAUCUUCACAGAAUACUGAUUUGGGAGCUUAUGAAACGUCAGGCUUGUAUUCAGUGCAGACGUGAGUCUCUGUGAAGGAGUCUUCUGGCUUCCUUUGUUACUACAUGAAGAAUUCAUUUUGGCAUCUCCCUUUAGGGCUGGUUUCUUUUAAGCCAUGAUUGCAUUAAUAAUAUCAGUUCAUGGUGUAACUGAUUGAAUCCCUUUCACGUUGGGGAAGAAUUAAAGACCAAUCUAAUUCGCUACUGACCCAUAAUCAGCAAAGCCAUGAAGUAAAGGGCAUUAUUUUCUCACAACUUUUCUGUACAGCUAUAUUAAUUUUUAUGUUUCAUACUCCUGAGGUAAUUAAAUGCCCUUAAAUGAGGAAAUGCUUUAUGUAAAUGUCAUUUUAACACCAAAGAUUGUGCCUGUUCCCAGGGUACAGUGUUAUCUAACUAAAAAGCUGGUUUCAUUUCUUAAAAGCAAACACAUUUUGAGGUCAAAAUUUUCAUUUUAUAGUUAUUACUUUGCUCAGAUGCAAACACUGGUUUUCUAACUGAAGAAUAAAAGGACACCUUGAUUUUUUUACAAGUGUAUACACUGCAUUUUUUUGCAUGGUUCAGCUUGCUUGUUCCUUAGAUCUCUUUGCUUUAGGAUUAGCAAGAUAACAAACAUGUUCAGGUUCUAAGAGAUUUUUUUGGUGAUGUUCUUUGAACUGCUGCAAAAGGCAAGCUUAGCCCCAGCUUUAUAACUAAGGCCUGCUUACCACAGCUAAGCUAAACACAAACACAUGUGGUAUAUUAUCUGAGAAGAGGAUCAUUGCUCCCCUGUGAAGUUCUCCAGGAAGAUGACUGUUGUCCACAGCCAGUUUUUCAUGGGAAUUGGGUGCACAUUCAUGUUCAUUUUGUCCUUGGUUUAUCAACUUACCUACUGGAUGUCACACAAAGCUCACAGAGGGCAGCAGCACAGUUUGGAUGUCAGACCCAUUUCUUCAGCUCUGCAGUCCCCCAUCCUGCUGAGGCAGGUAAGUGUCUCCCUGGCUAACCCCCUUUUAAAGGUCCCUGAUUCUUAAAUAUUCAUUUAAACCUGAUACAGAAUACUCUUUCCAUUUCUUCAGUUUGAAGACUUACUUUUUCCCUUUUUUAAUGAUCCGUGUGCCUAGUCUUUUCUGAAGCUUUUCAAAUUUCAGGACUCAGUGACUCCCUACAGGUCAGGGGAGGUUUAGAUUGGAUAUUAGGUAAAGGUUUUUCACCCAGAGGAUCUUUGAGCACAGAAACAGGUUACCCAGGGCAGUGGUCACAGCACCAAGCCUGACAGAGUUCAAGAAGCAUUUGGACAACGCUUUCAGGCCCAUGUUGGGAUUCUUGGGGGUGUCCAGAGCAGGGCCAGGAGCUGGACUCGAUGACCCUUGUGGGUCCCUUCCAAGUCAGGAUAUUCUACGAUUCUAUAAUGAGUCCUUCAGCCUAACUGUGCAACAAGGCAAAUAUUCUUUUAGUCACUUUUGGCUUUUUUGUUCAUUUUAAUCAUAUCUAAUGUUGUGUAAUGAGUCCCCAGAAACACAAGGCUAUGGUCAUAAUACUGAGAUGGAAGAUACUUCUGCAACUGGCAUCUUCAGCAGAUGCUGAUCUUUGCUGAGCUGCCUUUGAGGACUUGCCAACAUCAAGAAGGGAGAGGAAGAAAAAGGGCUGGACCAUAUUUAGAAGCAAGAAGCCCCUUGGAGAAGAGCCCUGAGGUGGUCCUGAGGGUCACAGACUCACAGGGCACCACUUGCCCUGCUCACUGAGGAGCCAGCUCCUCUCCCAGGUAAACCCUAGAAGUGAGCAGAGGGUGAGGGCUCUGACAGCCACCCAUACCUGAGCCCAUACAGUUCCCACAAGACUGUUCAGAAACAAGAAAAGUCACCUAUGAAUGUUAAGCUUAAAAAAGCAGCAGCACUGAUGAGUAUUUUUGGCAUGAACUGAAGAAUCCUUUUGUUCCAGCUACAGCCCACAUGCUGAUUCAGCUCAGCAGUUCUCCUCUUCUGUUCUUUUCCUUUCCCAGGGCUUUCUUAAACGCCACUUCUGGGUUGCUGUUUUCUUCCAGCCUGCUUCAGUUAUGUUUGGGAAUGAUGGCUCAUAAAAAUAUUGGCACGUACUCUCAACUGGUGGCAAUAGUCUGUAGGAGCAUGCUAUCAGUCAGGAUAUGACUCUGUUCUUUUUUCAUGGUUUUGCUAUAUUUAUUUGAUCUCAUCUACAAUAAAGCCUUUUGAUACUGCUGAAGUGAUAGAAAGGCAUCAUAUGGUAAAUGGUAAUCAGGCUUUUCAGCAUGAAAUGGUUUGAAUAAAUUUGCUUUGUGGAGUCUUCCCAGAGCUAAAUUCUGCUGUAAUUUACCACCGAGGCACUGCCCAGACUGCUCAGCAUUAGCAGGUGAGAUCUUCCUGGGGCAGAGCAGGUGGUGUCACCCCUACACACUGCACCCAGGGUGACUUGCUGGCCUGGACUCCAGACUAAAGGCAGUUUUAAGUAGAAAGGAUCCUGUCUAUUUCUUUCCUGCUCAACACUCAUUAUUUACAAAACAACAACUGAAACUAUAAAUUUUUCAUACUGAAUAUACCAAUAUUGCAUAUAAAGCAAGAAUCACAACUUCCACGCGUUAAAGUGUCUAAUAUCUUGAGUGGCUAUUUAUGCCUAAAUAAUCAGAGAAAAAACCCAAAUAGAUUUUUGAAAAGAAUGUAAGGGAAAGGAUAAAGACAAUAGUCUGAACAUGCUGUAGAAAAAGGAGGAUAAAUACUUAAGAAGAACCAGAUCUUACCAGAAUUUAAACAUCCUCCCAAAUACAAAAUUUCCCUGCGACAACCUUGCUUUCAUUCUGAGGAGUAAUUUAUUUGAAUAGGCAUCUAUGAAGAAGCUGCAUCUGCACUGGCUGAGCUCUGUAUAGGAACUAAAGGUGGAAAAGCAUCUAAUUAAGAAGUCACUGAAGUGAUGAGGUGAGCUGUUUCCUAGGGAAGGUCACUCACUGUCCAGCAGAGCUGAUGUUUCCCAUAGAGGUGUCCUCAGCCACUGUGUUCAACAGCACUCAGGCUGGUUCAUUUAUUUAUAUAUUCAUACCAUCAGAAAGGAAUCUUUUACUGCUCGUUUACCUCACCUGGCCUGGAGACACAAGAGAGAUGUUUCCUUGCUGCCAGGUGGCACCAAAGAAGCUCCAGGGACAUUUGCUGCAUUUCAAGCCCCAAGUGAUAACGAUGUGAUGUGUUUAUUUGAUUUCAUCAUGCAAAACUAAAAUCAUCUUAUACAAAACUUCAGGCAGAGCAGUUUUUACUUUUUAUUUUUCCCCUUUCUUUGGCUCUAAACCUGCCAGAUUAUUUCUAAGUUACCCAAAAUGGAACUUUUCUUCCUUUGUCUUCAGGUGUAUUAAGUUCUUUUAUGAGUAUACAAAAAGUGUUGAAUGCCACCAUAAACACACCUAUGAAGGAUUUAUUUCUUCUGUUCUUAUUUCUCAUAUGGAAUAUUUUAUAUGUUGAAUAAUGAGCUCAGUUCUGUGUCUGGCAAGGCUUGUGUCCAUAUGCUCUCAGCCCAAACCAUAAUGACAGAGCAUUUCCACCACAUCCUCCUCUCACCCUUCCACUCAAGAAUCUCUUCUGAUGGUAAUUCAAACUGACUUUUCAUUGCCAGUGGCUGUGGAACCACACUGUGCCUCUUCUGUAAGGACCUAAGUGCUGGGUAAUAUCGUGAUCAUCUGCACCAAAACCUUAGAGGAUGCUGGCAGAAAGUUGGGCUUUUUUUUAAAAAAAAAAAAAAAGGAAAAUAAAUGCUAAGACCUCAAAUGAAAAGUAAGUUAGUUUGAAAGCUUGACUGGGAAGGUUGACUGCAGGGCGGUGACAAGUGGUUUUGGAGGUGCUGGAGAUCUCCCACUGGCCAAGUCAUGACCUCAGCUGCAGCUGCCUGGAAACCUUGGGCACCUUAAAGUAAAAAUUGCCAGUGAAUUUUCACUAGGAAUUCCCACCAAUACCCACUGAACCCCUCUGGCCCAACCUUCACUGGCUGGGCUGAAGGGCUGGUGUCCAUAGGCUUCCUACAGAGCCAGAGGGGAGAGGUGGGGAACCAAAAAUACUGGUCCUGAUCUUGGGAAUGCAGCUUCUGAGGAGCUUGUCUUUUCCAACCAGCAGACCCUGAAGGACACUUCCCCACAACCCAGAUGAAUGCAUAUAAAGUCAAAGCUGAGCAUAUGCUUUGUGUUAAUGCUCAGUUGUUGGGUAUUUUAUCAUUCUUUAUCAUGGAGAAAGUUGGGUUUUUUUCUUCUGAAAAGUGCUGUAAGGAACUUGAAAUGCAGAUUUCAACCAGCUGUAUUUCUUAUCUGGUGUCCUUUCACAACACUACUGUGCUGUUGUCAGAAAUGUAUGAUGACACUUCGAGGAAAACUGAUUGCCAGAGUCUGUUGAUUCUGUGUAACUAUAUUAAAAUACUGGAAAUUA
Long non-coding RNA from Pseudopipra pipra, 10985 nucleotides. RefSeq lists it as uncharacterized. NCBI's taxonomy places the organism in Eukaryota, Metazoa, Chordata, Aves, Passeriformes, Pipridae. The transcript has 3 exons. The record is from RefSeq and is a predicted model, not a curated record.